UACGUAGGUGGCGAGCGUUGUCCGGAUUUACUGGGCGUAAAGAGCGCGCAGGCGGUCGUGCAAGUCGCGUGUGAAAGCCCCCGGCUCAACUGGGGAGGGUCACGCGAUACUGCUCGACUCGAAGGCAGGAGAGGGAAGUGGAACUCCCGGUGUAGUGGUGAAAUGCGCAGAUAUCAGGAGGAACACCGAUGGCGAAGGCAGGUCACUGGGCCGCAACUGACGCUGAGGAGCGAAAGCAUGGGGAGCGAACAGG
RNAcentral lists this ribosomal RNA (253 nucleotides) under uncultured bacterium. RNAcentral describes it as "partial 16S ribosomal RNA". It matches the Rfam family "Bacterial small subunit ribosomal RNA", at positions 524 to 776 of the family's 1533-position model. The record is from RNAcentral.